GCGCUGCUGCUUUUCCCUCCCACUCCUUCAGUGCGACAGCUUCAGAGCUGAUGGAGAGACAGAGAGCACGCAACUGGAAAAAAUCAGACAUGGAAUUCAUGGAUUAACUGGUCACCAAUUGUUUCAGCAUUGCGUAUUGAAUAAUACAACCUUCUUCCACUGCCGUGAAAUGUCAACAGCUGCUCUCCCACUAGAUAGGGCGUAGCUUUCCACAGACGUGGAAACAUCGCUGUGGUCCAUCUCUAUUUACUGCAAGCAGAAGGGUCAAGACAGAAAACAUAGAGGCUUUUAGUAGGAGAGGGCAGACAUGCUUUAUCAUAUCAUUGAGCUACAAUUCUGGCCUACAGCAGAGAUACAGCCUGGUUUCCAUUAAGAGCAAGGCCUCUGGACCCAGGCUUCCUGGGCUUGCUUCCUGAUCCCAUCUUUUACUAAUUGUAUCGCCACAGAAAGAAAGGCUCCAGAUUUAUGUUUCCUGGUAUUGCUGCUAUUGGUAUUACUGUCAUUAUUACUAUUAUCACCAUCAUCAUCAUCAUUACUAUUAUUAUUAUUAUUAUUAUUUUACAAUUGAACUACAUUGGUGAAUAUUUAAUGUCCAUCUACUGAAAUAGCUACAGUGCAAGACGGAGAGAGGCCUUCAUGCAUGGUGUGCAUUUGCCACCUAGUGACCACACUGAGGGAGAAGGAACAUGGACCAUCCACCCAGUCUUCCAAACAACAUCCCUCACCCAUAGUUGAAACUUUGGAUUCAGACCCUUCUCUGACACUUCUGACAAUAAGUUUGGUGACUCAUGCUCUGGAGGAAGAAAGUGAAGAAGAGCAAGACUACUUCUCUGCAGCAAACUCUGAUGUUCUCUGUUCUUUCCUUACCACUGUUGUCAUGAGCAGCAUUUUUUCAUAGGUGCAUUGUUAUCCUUGCCAUGAGAGCAGACAAAAAUGAAAAAUAGUUGCCAAGUAACCAGAACUGCUGGUAUGAAACUUUGGGAAAUAUCACUGAGAUGUGCUUUGGUAUUUUAUUUCUGUGAACAAACCAAUUGUCUUGGACUUUCACAGUACUCUUUUCUAUGUCUCACCCUUUACCACAAAGGUCCUUAAGUCCUUUGACAUGCAUAGUGUGAGGGAUUCUGGCACACAUUCUAGAACCUCGCAAAGUGGGAGGGGCCUGCUAUCUGCUUUAUCAUCUUCAUUCCUGAAGUUUACUUUAAUUCUGAUUAGUUUGGCAUAAGGUCAUUUGUUGUAUGUAGUCAUCUAAGUUAUGUAAUGCCUGAUUCUGAGUAGCAGAGUAUUUAUCAUAAAUUCCUUGAUUUGCAUUGGUACCUAAUCAAUGAGGAGAAGUUAGUAUAGUUAAUUUCCAUACUUCCCUCUUGUUCUCAUGUUUGCCUCAUCCAAGUGUUUCUGAGAUGCUGAACCUCCUCCAGAAAAGGUAAUGCUAAAAUUUCCUGUUCCCAAAAGGUGCUGCAGAACUCACUUCUAGUUGAAGUUUGAGUGUUUAAUUCACUUUUGUAAUCUCAUUAUUUGACUGAAGUAUUGUUAAAGUGAAUUUUGAAUGUUUGAAAUUUCCUAUGCAGAUUUAACAAAGAGAGAAAAUGACAAAACCAGAGGUAAGACACUCAGAAAUGAUUAUUUUUUCUGGCAUAUGAUGAGCCUGCCUGGCCUUUUAGUACUUACACAUAUUUUUACCUGCUAUCUAUUUUGAACUCAGUUGUGUACUUUUUCUGGAAACAGAGAGGAAGUCUGACUAGCAUUGCUUGAUCUUUUUGCCCUAACUGCUACUGUGCCAACAUUAUAGAAGGAGCACCCUGAUUGCAAAGGAUAAUGACAUAAUACUGCCUGAAGAGAGAAAGGAAGAGUAAAUCUCGAUAUGAAGUUGGGAAAAAUUACUUAAUAUAUCCUAAAUUGCAUAAAGACAUCCUGGAAUGCAAGCAGUUUAUUCAGUAAUGAAGUAAAUGUUUCUUUUGAGCCAUAGUGUUAAUAAUAGGCCUUGCUCACACAGUAAGCAAGAUGGCUGGCAUUCUCAAGGCUCAGAAGAAGCAGAUGUAGGUUGAAAGUGCACUGUCAGAUAGUGUGGCCCUAGCAAUGUUACAGUUCUUAGCAAGCACUCACUUCUCCUCUAACCCACAGGUGUUCUCAGCAUUGACUGGAUUUUGGAGUCAGGGAGGGGAGCUCCGAAAACAUGGCAUUUCUGGAAUGUGUUCCUAGCAGUAGGGGCAGUACCUAUAUAUUUGCAAACCAACUCAAUGGUUCUGUGUACAUCUCUACAUGAACACUUCUGCUAUUAGGUGAUACAAAAUUAAGAUAGAAAAAUAGAAGUGAACUAGUGUUGGGCUCAGGGAACAAGGCUAACAUGAUCAUCUCAGCGUUUGUUCUGCCACUAGGUCAAUGAGCAGUCUCACUAAAGUCACUCUAGACUUUUCCUAGUUUCCAAAUGAGGGUAUAGUAUCUUUAUCUCCAAGUGUUCUAACUUUGGUAUUGCCACAUUCAGACAAAAUGACAUCAACCUUAUUGGUUAACUUUGUGAGUACCUUAGACUUUAUGCAGAAGCCAGGGUCAAUAAUAAUGUUAAAUUUCAUUCAUGUUAUUUGAAAAUUGAGGGUGGUUGGACUGCAGAUAUAGUUAUGUAGUAGAGCCCUUGCUUGGCAAAUUAUAGUCUCUGGGUUCAUUCUCCAGCAUUGUGAAAAUGUGGUUGUGAGUCAAGCUUUAUAUAUUUUAGACCCUCCCAGAAAAGAAAUUUAGGUAUUAGGUAACAUAGAAUAAAGAGGUCAACUUCUUAAUG
Molecule: RNA transcript, 2770 nt
Organism: Mus caroli (Ryukyu mouse)
Lineage: Eukaryota; Metazoa; Chordata; Mammalia; Rodentia; Muridae
Gene name: melanoma-associated antigen 1-like
Source: RefSeq, a predicted model, not a curated record